RNAcentral lists this long non-coding RNA (576 nucleotides) under Arabidopsis lyrata. Its description in RNAcentral is "long non-coding RNA (ALYR_LNC003256)". The record is from RNAcentral. Lineage: Eukaryota; Viridiplantae; Streptophyta; Magnoliopsida; Brassicales; Brassicaceae.
UUAGACAAGUUAACAAAUAUAUAUAUGGUAGUCAUAAUAACUCGUUAAUGUUCUCUAGAGCAUUUACAUAUUUGGAUGGAAAUUUAUGAGAACAAUCAAAGAGAGGUUGAUGAGAAAACCAAGUGUUCAUCGAUUUCCAUUGAAAAUAAUCUCGACAAGUACAUAAAAGGCCCUAAGUAACAAAUUCAUAUAAGAGCCAAAUUUUUACGCUUUGGCCUAAAACUGAAAGUAACAAAUCCACUCAUGCCGCUGGAGCGUAAUCAUAGAUAAUGUCGUCAUCGUCGUCGCCGUUUUCUAUAAAUGCAACCUGAUGGUAUUCAAAUUCUCCAUUAUUGUAAGUAACAUCACCUCGGAUGCAUGUUUCACGAACUUGGUCACAUUUGCACAGAACAAACUUGUAAAUAGAAACCAUUGUAUUUUUUCGGUUAAUGAAGAAAAGAAAAUAGUUAACAAAGCAUAUGGGAAAAAGAAAGAGGUUUGUUAGGUUGGUGAAGGAACGAGAGAUCGUUGGGAUAUUUAUAUAUGAAACAAAACUCACAAAAGGUUAGAAAAGUUUUGGACUCAUUUUGUCUCGGG